Long non-coding RNA from Papaver somniferum (opium poppy), 1533 nucleotides. RefSeq lists it as uncharacterized. The transcript is spliced from 7 exons. The record is from RefSeq and is a predicted model, not a curated record. NCBI's taxonomy places the organism in Eukaryota, Viridiplantae, Streptophyta, Magnoliopsida, Ranunculales, Papaveraceae.
UUCUUUUUUUAUUAAGACUUAAACUGUAGCAAAAUCCACAAGCAGAUCUUCCUACCAUUCAUCUCUCAGAGAUAACUAAACAAGAAAUAAUUUUCUCUCACCAAAAUCAAAAACCCAAAACCAAAACCAUCUGUAUGAUUUUUGUUUGACAAAAAAAAAUCAUCAUCAGUAACAAAGACAGCAACAAAUUUCUUCCCAUUAAAAACCCACAAAAUAAUUCCUCCCAUAAACAUAGAAUCUCCGUCAAAUCUUUAGGGCAUGUUCUUCGGUCAAUUUUGAUUACCCAGUCGAAUCUAACCCCAGAUUAAUGCUCAGUAUGUUGUAAUCUACAUCAACCAUAAAAUGUUUUUGUAGUCAAACCAUUUACAUAUCAAUUUUUUGUUCAAAUGGAGGAAAUUAGAUUUCAUCCGAUCGUAACUGUAGAAAUUCAUGAAUCUGAUAAUUAGGCGUGAGUUUUGGUUCGUCUGAAGGAUUUGGACGUUUGGGUAUCCAUCAGAAACUGAAAUAAUCACCAGUUUGGCCAUUCUGAAUUGAUUCUAGUUAUUCGUUGCAGAGGAUCUUACCAAGGUAUUGGAAAUGGAUUUGGCAAUAUGUUGGUUCUUCAUUACCUUAGGGAGUGAAAUGGUUGAAGUAUCAUGAGGAACGAGGAAGUAUUAACCUAAAUGGUACUCUUACGGUUGAAGUAAGAUGACCAGGAGGUGAGACUGUCAUAGUGAAAUUAUUCGAAUGGUGGACGAAGCACAGGGCAAGGAAGCGGCUGGCUGAUAAGGAUUUCUCUCUUGCUUGCUCAUAAUCUGCCUUCAUUAAUUACCACCGACUUCUGAAGGUAUGAACUCAGACAGAUUGCACUGUUGCAGCAUAAGAAGAUGGUGAUGCUAAACCAACCACCAAGGAAGAAUAUUGUAGCUACACUGGAAGAAACCAAAACUUCAUCACGAAACAAGACCCUGAGAUGCUGGAAACCUUCAGACUUUGCGCCUGCAGUAAAAUAAGCAGUCCGGUAGUCGAACAAGUUGCAGGGAAACUAACCAUCUUGGACUUGAGUGGUUGAGAAAAUUAGCGUUCCUUCUCUGGAAGUGAUUGGCAAGGGUUGUAAAUUCCUUGCAGGGUUAUGGCCAUGCGUCCACUUGAGGUUGUAGACAAAGAUUCCCAAGAUGAUGAGAAACCGUAGUGGCAAACAUGAAAUACAUUGAAAUGAGAUCAUCUCAAACUGUAAGUGGUUGGACGAAUUGUAAACAAAGGCAGUUGCUGGGAUAUGGAUAAUUGCUAGUAUUAUUCAGGCUCUAAUUUUUAUGGCUUGGGAUUUUGUCAUUGGUGGAAUUGCAGAUGACCACGAUUCAAGUUCAUAUGAUGAACAAAGACCCUCAAGAACUUGAAAUCAUUGCUACUCUUGUUUCUACUGCCAGUCUACUUGGUAUAUAUUACUACUAGUUAUUAUGAGUUUGCAUUUCUUUUCUGCUUGGAACUUUUAUCUUGCUCAAACAGAUGUAUUUUCAGUAAAGAAUGAUCUAUAUAAAAGUUGCAUCUUCUGUA